This 248-nucleotide long non-coding RNA is filed under the name Homo sapiens (human). Its description in RNAcentral is "non-protein coding lnc-TP53TG3-24:1". Lineage: Eukaryota; Metazoa; Chordata; Mammalia; Primates; Hominidae. The record is from RNAcentral.
UGAAGAAAAAAUUGGAAACGAAGAGAGUGAUUUAGAAGAAGCCUGCAUUUUGCCUCAUAGUCCAAUAAAUGUGGACAAGAGACCCAUUGCAAUUAAAUCACCCAAGUUGGAGAGAGCAGAGGUUCGCCUGGAAGGGAUAGAUACAAUUUUGAAAUUGUAUCUGGCGAGCAAGAAUUUCUUACUUCCAUCUGUGCAGUAAGCGAUGUUUUGUGGAUGGCAAAGACUUAUUCCUGAAGGAAUCGAUAUAG